AGAGGCAGGAAGGAGAGCAGCGGACUGUGCUCAUCCCUCAGCUAGGCCUGUCCCCUCCAGGCUGCGGCCAGGACCGCACAGCCCCCACCGAACACAGGUGCGGGACGUCCGCCAGGCUUCUAGAUUGUUUCCAGAUUGCUGCUGAGUUUGUUUCAACAGCAGAUGCGGAAGCCCGGCUGCUGCCACCGCAUCCCAGUGCCCUUCCAAAGCCACCUGCUGCGGACAGAAGCAGUUUCAUACACAGAGGAUUCCAGAACAACCAGAGGCGAGCCCUGGACAGGGAGAGCAGGAGGGGCUCUGCGCACGGGCUUGGCUGGCAGUCGUAAGUUUUGCUGUUGCUUACUCUUUGGGUCUGCACUGCCUUUAUGAACUGUAACACUGACCAUGGAGGUCUGCAGCUUCACUCCUCAAGCCAGCAAGACCAGGAGCCCACUGGGAGGAGGAAUGAACAACUCUGGACACGCCACCCUUAAGAGCUGUAACACUCACCGCGACGGUCUGCAGCUUCACUCCUGAAGUCAGCGAGACCACAAACCCACCAGAAGGAAGAAAAUCCGGACACAUCUGAACAUCUGAGGGAACUCCGCACACACCAUCUUUAAGAACUGUAACACUCACCACGAGGGCCCGUGGCUUCAUUCUUGAAGUCAGCAAGACCAAGAACCCACCAAUUCUGGACACAACAGGACACACACAUGGGAGGGGGAGGCCAGAGGGAAACCUAGCUGGCUUGGGGUGGGAAUUUGAAUCCCUGAGCCCAUCUUCUUCUUUCACCACUUUGUCCGGUGACAUUAGGACCAACCAACCAAUGCCAUUAUAUUUCUUAGUUUACAAGAAAAUGUUUGAAGUUCUCAUGCACAGAAUCACUUAGCUUCUUGCUUUUUACAAGUGGUUGAUUAGGAGUAUUCAAUACAGAUUUUGUGUAUCACUAUAAACAGUUCACAGCAUGGACUACUGGUGUUCUCUUUACUAACUGAAAUGGUGUCAUUAGCACCUUUAAAUCUAAUCCAUUUAGAGAGCCAGUUCCGGAAACCUCAGAACCAGUUUGGAAAACUUCCGUUCUUCUGAAGCCAUUUUUGGAACCACAUCUGUGCUAGGUUCUCCAGGGAAACAGAACCAAUAUGUUUUAUUUACUAUGGGGACUGGCUCAUAUGAUUCUGGAGGCCUAGAAGUCCCUCCCUCUCAAGAUGUGCUGUCAGCAAGCUGCAGAACCAGGAAAGCUGGUGGUGUCAGAGUCUGAAGGCCUGAGAACUGGGUGGGGAGUGGGACAGACUAAGGGGCCUUUAGUCUCUGGGUUGGUGUGGUCCCCACAGGUGAGCCUUUCGUGGAGAAGGGUGGAGAGGGGAUCUGGAAGGGCCAAUAGAAGAUACUCAGCACUAAGAGACCUUUGGACUCAGACCAGAACUUACACCAUUCAUUCAUUCAGUCGGUGAAAAUGUAUUGACCACUGUAUCAACCAGGAUUGUGACACAAAAACAGAUGGCACACUCAAAAGAGGAUAAUUCAAGAAGGGCUUCUUUAAGGGACUAUUUCCCAAGAUGGGAAUGGAGGGGAACCUGCAGGGCUAGUGUCCUACCCUCCAGCAGGCAGCAGCUAAUUCCUGAGGGGAUAAGGACGUGGUUGCGAGGACAUGGAGGGAAAGUUCUACAGAGGAGGCACAGUGGGCUUCAGGAACACCCUGCUUGAGAGGCCUGUGAGAGGUGGGGAAUCAAUACCUGACCUCGCUCUCCUUCCAUCUCUCCCCAACCCACAGGGGUUGGUGUGGGCCCCACAGGCGAGCCUCCCGGGGAGAGAAGUGGAGAGAGGACCUGGAGGGCCAGUAGAAGGUAUGCACACAAGUAUCUACAAGGCACCAGGCAUUUUUUGAGCAUUUGGGAUUUGUCAGCAAACAAGUCAGACAAAAAACCUUGCUCUGGUGGAGGGAACAUUCUAGCAAAGGAAGGCAAAUGACAAGCAGUAAGUACAAUAAUCAAG
Molecule: long non-coding RNA, 1974 nt
Filed under: Homo sapiens (human)
Lineage: Eukaryota; Metazoa; Chordata; Mammalia; Primates; Hominidae
Description: HSALNT0300416
Source: RNAcentral